AGCGAACGCUGGCGGCAGGCUUAACACAUGCAAGUCGAGCGGGCCUUUCGGGGUCAGCGGCGGACGGGUGAGUAACGCGUGGGAACGUGCCCUCUGGUUCGGAAUAACUCAGGGAAACUUGAGCUAAUACCGGAUACGCCCUUUUGGGGUAAGGCUUGCUGCCGGAGGAUCGGCCCGCGUCUGAUUAGCUAGUUGGUGAGGUAACGGCUCACCAAGGCGACGAUCAGUAGCUGGUCUGAGAGGAUGAUCAGCCACACUGGGACUGAGACACGGCCCAGACUCCUACGGGAGGCAGCAGUGGGGAAUAUUGGACAAUGGGCGCAAGCCUGAUCCAGCCAUGCCGCGUGAGUGAUGAAGGCCUUAGGGUUGUAAAGCUCUUUUAUACGGGACGAUAAUGACGGUACCGGAGGAAUAAGCCCCGGCUAACUUCGUG
This 433-nucleotide ribosomal RNA is filed under the name uncultured bacterium. RNAcentral's name for it is "partial 16S ribosomal RNA". It matches the Rfam family "Bacterial small subunit ribosomal RNA", at positions 29 to 507 of the family's 1533-position model. The record is from RNAcentral.